Long non-coding RNA from Salvia splendens (bonfire salvia), 821 nucleotides. RefSeq lists it as uncharacterized. Lineage: Eukaryota; Viridiplantae; Streptophyta; Magnoliopsida; Lamiales; Lamiaceae. The record is from RefSeq and is a predicted model, not a curated record. The transcript has 2 exons.
CAAGGCAUAGAACCCACAGCAGGAGAUCAAAAUCCACAACCUUUUCCUCUUAGUAAAUAUAGCAAUGACACCAUUUCAACCUUACGGUUAUGUAUUUGUUACUAUGUUUGAGAAUGCUAGCUAGUUAUGGAACACAACAUAUUUGGGACGAUAUGCUAAAACGUCACAAUAUAUAUUUAACCUGCUGUAUUUUUCUUUUCUCCUCAUAAUAUGUUUUUUUGAAUUCUCAAGAGCCGACACCCUGAUAUAUUUUUAUUGUUUCUUAGAGUGAUGAAAAAUAUCAUUGUGGUGAAACUGGAUAUCGCAUUCGUCUGAAAUGUGUACCCUCUGGAAUUGGGUCCAAAGACUCAAAAGGUACAAAACAACAUAAGGAAAGAUCUACUCUUGAGUUUAUGGAGUUGGGUGUUAAUCAGCAUGAUGGAGACAUGAGUAUUUCUUCAACGAGGCAAAGAGAUUACACAGUGAUUCCUCCAACGCUGGACCACGCUCUUAUGUCACUUACAGGAGCUGUAUACCUGCUGUAAACGAAGAAAAAUUGUCAGUACUAGGUUUUGAGGCCCUUAUGUUGGCUUUGCUCGUAAGCAGUGGCUCAUUCAUUUACUUCAGGCGGAAACGUGCUGCUGCGCCUGGUGGCGUGCCAAUGAGGCUUCCUACUAGUUCUAGGUUUUAAGUCCAAUCUACGAUUACAUCAUAUAGAAACUUUUUUUGCUUUCCAAUGAAGACUUUUGUAAGUUAUGGCCAAUAUUCGCAGUGGUUUAUUUUGCUGUAUUGCCUAUUUUGUCUUGUAUCAAGAAUUUCUGUAAUUAUUAUUCUUUCUUCUA